AUUGAACGCUGGCGGCAUGCUUUACACAUGCCAGUCGAACGGUAACAGGCCUUCGGGUGCUGACGAGUGGCGAACGGGUGAGUAAUGCAUCGGAACGUGCCCAGAGGUGGGGGAUAACGCAGCGAAAGCUGUGCUAAUACCGCAUGUGAUCUGAGGAUGAAAGCGGGGGACCAGGCAGCAAUGUUUGGCCUCGCGCCUUUGGAGCGGCCGAUGUCGGAUUAGGUAGUUGGUGGGGUAAGGGCCUACCAAGCCGACGAUCUGUAGCUGGUCUGAGAGGACGACCAGCCACACUGGGACUGAGACACGGCCCAGACUCCUACGGGAGGCAGCAGUGGGGAAUUUUGGACAAUGGGCGCAAGCCUGAUCCAGCAAUGCCGCGUGCGGGAAGAAGGCCUUCGGGUUGUAAACCGCUUUUGUACGGAACGAAAAGGCUCUGGCUAAUACCUGGGGCUGAUGACGGUACCGUAAGAAUAAGCACCGGCUAACUACGUG
RNAcentral lists this ribosomal RNA (492 nucleotides) under uncultured bacterium. RNAcentral's name for it is "partial 16S ribosomal RNA". It matches the Rfam family "Bacterial small subunit ribosomal RNA", at positions 30 to 507 of the family's 1533-position model. The record is from RNAcentral.